UAGGGAAAAAAUGCAUUUUUCAAAGACCUAACUUCAAUUCAGUUAUUACCUAGUGGGGAAAUGGAUCCAAAUUUUAUUUCUGUACGACAACAGUUCUUAUUGAAAGUUGUCAGUGCAGCUGUCCAGGCCCAACAUUCAGCCACAAAGGUCAAAGAUCCCACAGAAGAGGCCACACCCACUCCUUUUGGGAAAGACCAAGAUUGGCCAGCUCUAGCUGUGGAUUUAGCCCAUCACCUUCAAGUUAGUGAAGAUGUUGUUAGAAGGCAUUAUGUGGGGGAACUAUACAACUAUGGAGUUGACCACUUAGGAGAAGAGGCCAUUCUACAGGUUCAUGACAAAGAGGUCCUUGCCUCUCAGCUGCUGGUGCUCACGGGGCAAAGGCUGGCUCAUGCGCUUCUCCACACCCAGACAAAAGAAGGAAUGGAGCUGCUUGCCAGACUUCCACCCACACUGUGUACUUGGCUGAAAGCAAUGGUCAGUACAAUAGAACGAGAUCAGGCAAAAGGUCAUUGGAUGUUUUCUUGAGUGCCUGGUUAAUAACAGUUAUGAAGAAAAUUUGACAAGUUUAAUUCACCUAGUUACAAAGAAAAGCAUUUUUAUGUAAUAACUCUUAAGUCAAUAACAAUUAUUGUUUAGUUGUCUAUAAUAGGUUAUUUUUGUGUCCCAUUUGCAGGACCCCCAGGACCUUCAAAACACUGAAGUGCCAAUUGCAACAACAGCUAAACUAGUAAAUAAAGUAAUUGAGCUUUUACCAGAAAAACAUGGGCAAUAUGGUCUAGCCUUACACCUCAUUGAAGCUGUGGAAGCCAUAUCUCUUCCUUCUUUAUGACACUUACCUACUGGAAAUAGUCUAAAAUUAUGAUUAUAACAUGAAGUAGUGCAUGGUUAUUUUACAUA
RNAcentral lists this non-coding RNA (897 nucleotides) under Pan troglodytes (chimpanzee). Lineage: Eukaryota; Metazoa; Chordata; Mammalia; Primates; Hominidae. The record is from RNAcentral. RNAcentral also lists the same sequence under 1 other name.